Molecule: ribosomal RNA, 448 nt
Filed under: uncultured Pseudomonadota bacterium
Lineage: Bacteria; Pseudomonadati; Pseudomonadota
Description: bacterial SSU rRNA
Rfam family: Bacterial small subunit ribosomal RNA
Source: RNAcentral
ACAUGCAAGUCGUGCGAGAAAGUAUCUUCGGAUAUGAGUAGAGCGGCGGACGGGUGAGUAACGCGUAGGAAUCUACCUAGUAGAAGGGGAUAGCCCGGGGAAACCCGGAUUAAUACCGUAUACCUCCUUCGGGAGAAAGAAGGCCUCUCUUUGAAGCUUUCGCUAUUAGAUGAGCCUGCGUAAGAUUAGCUUGUUGGUGAGGUAAAGGCUCACCAAGGCGACGAUCUUUAGCUGGUCUGAGAGGACGAUCAGCCACAUUGGGACUGAGACACGGCCCAGACUCCUACGGGAGGCAGCAGUGGGGAAUAUUGGACAAUGGGCGCAAGCCUGAUCCAGCCAUACCGCGUGUGUGAAGAAGGCCUUCGGGUUGUAAAGCACUUUAAGCAGGGAGAAAAAGUUAUAAGUUAAUACCUUAUAACCGUGAUGUUACCUGCAGAAUAAGCACCGG